GACGAACGCUGGCGGCGUGCUUAACACAUGCAAGUCGAGCGAGGUCCAUCUGGUGGCAACACUGGGGAAGACCUAGCGGCGAACGGGUGAGUAACACGUGAGCAACCUGCCCCGAAGACUGGGAUAACACCGGGAAACCGGUGCUAAUACCGGAUGUCCUCCUCUGGUCGCAUGGCCUAAGGAGGAAAUGAGCUUUGCUUCGGGAGGGGCUCGCGGGCUAUCAGCUUGUUGGNGAGGUAACGGCUCACCAAGGCGACGACGGCUAGCUGGUCUGAGAGGACGACCAGCCACACUGGGACUGAGACACGGCCCAGACUCCUACGGGAGGCAGCAGUGGGGAAUCUUGCGCAAUGGGCGAAAGCCUGACGCAGCAACGCCGCGUGGGGGAUGAAGGCCCUCGGGUUGUAAACCCCUUUCAGCAGGGACGAAUCUGACGGUACCUGCAGAAGAAGCCCGGCCAACUACGUGCCAGCAGCCGCAGUAAC
This 485-nucleotide ribosomal RNA is filed under the name uncultured bacterium. RNAcentral's name for it is "bacterial SSU rRNA". It matches the Rfam family "Bacterial small subunit ribosomal RNA", at positions 28 to 524 of the family's 1533-position model. The record is from RNAcentral.